Molecule: ribosomal RNA, 505 nt
Filed under: uncultured bacterium
Lineage: Bacteria
Description: partial 16S ribosomal RNA
Rfam family: Bacterial small subunit ribosomal RNA
Source: RNAcentral
GACGAACGCUGGCGGCGUGCCUAAUACAUGCAAGUAGAACGCACAGUUUAUACCGUAGCUUGCUACACCAUAGACUGUGAGUUGCGAACGGGUGAGUAACGCGUAGGUAACCUGCCUGGUAGCGGGGGAUAACUAUUGGAAACGAUAGCUAAUACCGCAUAAUAUUGAUUAUUGCAUGAUAAUUGAUUGAAAGAUGCUAUUGCAUCACUACCAGAUGGACCUGCUUUGUAUUGGCUAGUAGGUGAGGUAACGGCUCACCUAGGCGACGAUACAUAGCCGACCUGAGAGGGUGAUCGGCCACACUGGGACUGAGACACGGCCCAGACUCCUACGGGAGGCAGCAGUAGGGAAUCUUCGGCAAUGGACGAAAGUCUGACCGAGCAACGCCGCGUGAGUGAAGAAGGUUUUCGGAUCGUAAAGCUCUGUUGUAAGAGAGGAACGGGUGUGAGAGUGGAAAGUUCACACUGUGACGGUAUCUUACCAGAAAGGGACGGCUAACUACGUG